AACGAACGCUGGCGGCGCGCCUAAUACAUGCAAGUCGAGCGAGAAGACGUAGCAAUACGUUUGUAAAGCGGCGAACGGGUGAGGAAUACAUGGGUAACCUACCCUAGAGUGGGGAUAACUAGCCGAAAGGUUAGCUAAUACCGCGUACGCUCCUUGGACUUCGGUUCAGGGAGGAAAGCGAUACCGAGGGUAUCGCGCUCCUGGAUGGGCUCAUGUCCUAUCAGCUUGUUGGNGAGGUAACGGCUCACCAAGGCUUCGACGGGUAGCUGGUCUGAGAGGACGAUCAGCCACACUGGCACUGCGAC
RNAcentral lists this ribosomal RNA (305 nucleotides) under uncultured bacterium. Its description in RNAcentral is "bacterial SSU rRNA". It matches the Rfam family "Bacterial small subunit ribosomal RNA", at positions 29 to 325 of the family's 1533-position model. The record is from RNAcentral.